GGUGAGAGCGAGCGAGAGAGAGGGGAAAGGGAGAGGAGGGAGGGAUGCCGGGCAGGACUGGGAUCGUUAGUUGGCUCGGGUGGUGAUGGAGACAUGCGCAGACUCACUCUCACGUCUCACUCGCCACGGCACCUCAUAGCGGCGCUCCUCUCUCUCCUGGCUCCUCCCCAUCACCUGAGGCUCCCCGCUGCCCCCCUCCACGCCCCCUCAAGCCUCUUCCACGCCCCCCACGCCCUUGCGACACUCACAUCACGCCCACAGCUAACUCGAGAAUGUGUUGGUCCUGGCCAUGGCGUCCGGUGGGAUAAAAGUGUCUCAUUCUCCUCCCUCCUCUUCCUCCGCCUCCGCAUCCUCCUCCUCCGCAUCCUCCUCCUCCUCCUCUUCCACCUCCUCCUCCUCCUCCUCCUCCUCCACGCGCAGUAUUAUUCAAGUAUUAUCAUUGAAAGUGAACGAGAAGUAUUUUUGAAGCAGUAUUAGAAGAAAACUACAAGAAAAGAAGAUUUGAUCCCGUUCUUCGUUCAUCGUCCUUCCUCCUCUUCCUUCUCCUCUUCUUCCUCCUCCUCCUCUUCAUCCUCCUCCGUCGCCGUCGCCUCCAGGAUGCCCAAGAGAAAAGUAACUGGACGCGCCGUAGGUAGAAGAUCACGCCGCAAGCGGCGUGAGUCUGGACCCAUCAUGCAACUCAACAACAACAAUAACAACAACAACAACAACAACAACAACAACAACAAUAACAGAAGCAGGUCAGCAACAACAACUGCAACAACCAACAACAACAACAAUAACAAUAACAACAACAACAAGA
Long non-coding RNA from Portunus trituberculatus (swimming crab), 802 nucleotides. RefSeq lists it as uncharacterized. The record is from RefSeq and is a predicted model, not a curated record. NCBI's taxonomy places the organism in Eukaryota, Metazoa, Arthropoda, Malacostraca, Decapoda, Portunidae. The transcript has 3 exons.